This 1773-nucleotide long non-coding RNA is filed under the name Zea mays. Its description in RNAcentral is "long non-coding RNA (ZMAY_LNC005628)". Lineage: Eukaryota; Viridiplantae; Streptophyta; Magnoliopsida; Poales; Poaceae. The record is from RNAcentral.
UCAUGUAAAGUUUAAUUUGAAUACCAUAUAAUAUCCAUUGAAGCUAAUUCAUACAUCAUCACAUCAUAUAAGGUCACCUUUAUUCACACAUAUAGAUAGACAAUAUAAUAUAAAAAAUGGAAUACAAAUCUCUUGGUUAGGAACUUCUGCACUAGAAUAAAUUACGAGUUUAACUCUUUUUCACAAGCUUCAUGUGGAAUGCCAUUUCAUUUUUCUUCUCCAUGUUGGUUUCAUGUGUUGCCUCCACUCUGCAAGUAAUACCAAUUGACACGUUGUUAAUAACUUAGUAUACAUGGUUGCAUGCACAUAACCAAAGCAACAGAGAAAAGUCACCAGGAGCUAAAAAAUUCUGAAUGCUUUCCUAUUUGCAUGCACAGUAGCUAAAAAGUCACCAACAACAGAGAAGUUUGCCUUCCUAGUUGACAGAGAUGCAAGAAGCACCAUAAAAUACUUGAGCUAACUUAACAAAAAACUAAGCCCUUUCCUAUUAGAUACUAGACGGCCAAAUACCUGUCCCUCGCAGCAAUUAAAAGUACACAAGCAUGAUAAAACUGAACAUAUAUCAUAAAACUGCUAUUACUAUUACAGAUCAGCUAAGAGAACAGCUAUUACUAUCACACAUAAACCUGAAUGCAUAGUAGUAACAACUAGGAGAGCAACUGUUACUACUACCCUAUGGAUGAUGCUUUGCAAUCUAGCAUACCCGUUCGGCAAAACUGCUAGAUGUUCUCCUAUCACAUAAAACUGCUAUUACUCUCUAGGUAAUUAUAAUUGAAGCAUAUAUCCAGUGCAGUGAAACUUGAUUCAGGUUGUAACUGAUUCAAUGAGCAAUGUAACAGAUUCAGGGUAUUUGAAACUUGAUGUAGCAUGCUACUUUAAACCCCCUGGUUGUCCAGUUUGAAAGAAAUAAAUAGACAAAAGAUGAUACAAGAAUGCUAUAAUAGAGACCACUGUUUUAAAAAGACUGAGAUAAUGCUAUUUAAAAAUUUAUUCAUUUGGGUUUCUAGAUCUCAAUUCUCAAGCAUGAUUCUAAACUAGCACAUCAGUUCACAGAAACUAAUAAGAAAGAAAUGCAGCAAUCUUUUCUAGGUACUGAUUCAAUGCAGCAAUUUUUAGAUAAUGUAACAAAAUUUCAUUGUACUUCAAUAUGUAGUCGUUGAUUAUUUGUGGUUUCAAACCUAAUUUUUUAGAUAAGAAUUGCGAUUAUCUAAUUUGCAGACUACAGUGAUACACCUAUUGAUCUUAAACCAUUCUCUCAAAGAAGCCGAACCAAACAGUCAGAACUGACAAGCUCCUAAAAAGUAUACGAAGUCAGUGCAGCAUCAAUUUUCAGUGAAGAAAUGCAAGAACUAGAGGGUGGUUCUCCUUUUGUCUACAAGUCAUUCUGAUCCAUUAAUACUGGCUACUGAUGAAACCAAGCAACUAAACCCCUUCUGAGGUUAGUUCAUUCAAACCUCCAAACAAUUGUUGAAUGCAGAUUUUUUGCAGUGAAUUUAUUAAAGAACCCAGUUCAAGUUCAACUGAACAAAAAAUGCAUCAAGAUGGACAGUUUAAAUAGAUCAAUCGAUGUAUUGUUCUAAACAAAAAAUAGGCAUCACUUAACUGAUCCAAAAACUGUGCCCCAAACUGAAACCAGCAACUUCCUCUUGGUUCAUGCAUAAAAAUUCAUCAGAUUUCACUAGGACUCUGGAACCCGCUAGGUGCGUGCAUUAGAGUUUAUGCAGUUCAUGAUAAAUCAUAGGAGAGUCGGCCUUGUACUCGGUAGGUGCAUAC